AUAAAAAUAAAAAAAUAAAGGGCUCUGAGCCCAGCCCUCUGGCCAGGGCCUGGUGCAGUGGCAGAGGCUUGGGUCCCUGCCAGGUCUCCUGAAACGUCUCCAGGGUCUGCUGGGGCAGCCACCUGGGUGCUCAGUUGCUCUGUUAAACAGCAAAAUUCCCAAGUCCUCAUCUCAAUGAGCCACUGAGGCCGAUGAAGAGGGCCUGUCUCAUUUAGGACAUGAGUGGCCAGGCGGGUGCCACAGGCCCUUUUCCUGGUGACAACAAAGCCAUUGCAUGGCUCCAGGAAGGCCACAUCAUUUCCCGGGCUUCGUAGGCACCUGCGGGGCGGAAACAGUUCAGCAGGGCCCUCCUGAUCACAAGGAAGAGGUCAUACCGGCUGCUGCACGGCAGGGCUGCACUCUGCCAGGGAGCGUCCUGUGAGGGAGGGGCUGCACUGCCACUUUACUGAUGAGGAAAUUAAGGUUCAGAGAGAUGAGGUCAUUUGUUAGAGGCCAGACAGCCUCCUCAGCCCAUUUCUAAGGUUGUUUCUGUGGUAUUUGCCAUAAAGCCAUAGGUUCAUUGAUUUGUUCUUAAGUAGUUCUGAGCCCUUCCUGCAUAUCAGGCAGGGACAAACAGGAAAGUCCCUGCCUUUGGCAAGUGCGGGGGAAAUGAAAUGAUUCUGCUCAGCCUCAUCCAUUGGUCUGAACAAUCACGUCUCAUGACCGCAGGGACACGGCUUCCCCUGAACGCGGAUCCUAGAGGCCAGGCAGAAGCAGCAUGGGUUUCCACUCACACGGUAGGCGGCUGUGCAAUUUCGUCUGGAGUCCGCAGACCCCUCCUCAUCCUUCCCAGGGUUGCUCUGAGGCCAUUCCUCGUCAUCUAGGAGGGGUCUACAUAAAAGCAUUUAUAAACACCUCCAAAUGGGAGCCAGGCGUGCCCACCUUUGGAGCACUUUUCUCUACUGCAAAUUUAUCUACUGCUCGUGAAAUCUCUGGAUUUAACUCUGAUGAAAGACUGGAGGCUGAAGGAGAACUUCAAUAUCAUAUAUUUUAAAGGUUGAUUCACAGUUUGGAGCAAGAAUUAAAGAACCACGAACUUCAAGGUAAAACGGGCAACGGCGUUGGGGCAAGCCUCUCUGCAUCUGCGUGUCCAGCCUCUCCUGCAUGCCAGAAGUCCCCAGGCAGGAGUGUGGUGGGACAUCCGGCUGGGGUGAUGUAAAAUUCUCAAACAAUGAGAUAGAUAAAAAGUACGCAGCCAAAAAGUUCAAGAAGAAGUGUUAUGGAGAUGGAGCAGGCCCUUCGUAAAAACACGAUGUUGGUUUUCUGGAUUUUGGAGGCCUCACAAAACCCGGAUCAGACUCGCCCACUGCCCUGUGUCUGCCCUCCCGACCGCCUCUCCUGCCCAGCAGGGAUGAGGGUGGCAGUGGUGCUGUGUGGAGGGUGGCGGGAGGACCUGGAAGACUGCGACCAGUGAGCCGGGAGGCCUUGGGACAGCCUCUCUCUGAAUCAUCCUGUGCACUGCCGGGUGUGACAGAGGCUCCUAGAAUCCUGUCUCAAGUGGCCGCCUUCACAGAGGGAGUCACUGACGUCCCUGCUCAGCGCAGCCCUGGCAUGUGGGGGUCCCUCUACUCAUGAGAAACCCCCACCCAAUCACCGUGAGAUGAAGAAAUGGGGCCUGGCGAGGAGCAAAGCCCAGAACUGCUGCCCACCACCCUCCCUGCCUGGUGCUUUCCUGGGAACAUGUGGGAGCCCCUGCCUGGACCU
RNAcentral lists this long non-coding RNA (1743 nucleotides) under Homo sapiens (human). RNAcentral describes it as "HSALNT0352141". Lineage: Eukaryota; Metazoa; Chordata; Mammalia; Primates; Hominidae. The record is from RNAcentral.